UAUAUAUUCAAGUUUAUCAUGACGUCGUAUGAUACCAGAUGCUAAGAUACAUUGCUUUUAUGCGUCAAUAGAAUAUGCGUGUGUAAACAGAUUCUAUAAAGAUGCAGAAUAAUAUUAUCACCUGAGUAAGUUCCCUCUUGGAGAUGCAGAAUAAUAUAAUUUGCCUUGUCAUAUAUAAUACUACAACACAUAUACGCAUCACCGCGAUGUACAACACCCCUAGCAAUGUUUCACCCUGUUAAUGAUAUUCAUCAACUUAGCUCUACACUAAUCAAGAUCAACUCGUACACUUACCCAGCGACUUAACCACUAUAUAGCCUUAACCUCUUAAACUAAUCAACAAUUAUACAAAUUACUAUAACAUACAUCAAUUAACAACUAUCAGCCACUCUCGAAUGAGGAAAAGUAAGAACUCGAAAAACAAGAGCAGAGCAACAAAUAUCCAGAAGAUAUGCCACAUAAAUAUUAAACCUACAAAACCAGCACCAACAAUUAACAAUUACUACCAAUUUACCUAGUUUUGUGCUUAUAAGUAAAUUUCAGAUCAAAUAAGUCAAAUAUCACUUGAAGUUGAGUCACACUUAAAACUGUUGUAACCGAUACAUAAACUUUAAAAUUCUUGAUUCUUAAGAAAUCAAGCAAACACAACUUAUACUCAAAGUAACUAGCCAUAUCAUCUUACCACAAAAACAAAAGUAAUUUAAUAGCUCCUUAAUUAGAAAAGAUUCAAUCUUUCUUUACCCUUUAGUUACAUGAAUCAGUAUCAGUUCCUCAUUCGAGUAAAUAUUUAAAUAAAAAUAUAUCAAACAAUCAUUUCAGUAAUAUUUCCUAUUUUGAGUAAAAAAUCAUUUUAAAUACACACACAAGAAGCAAAGAAAUGGCAGAUAGAAUCUAUACACAUAACUAUAGAUACAACUAAAAGCAUGAAAAGGGCUGCCUUAUAAUUUUACCAAAGACCACCAAAACCAGCAGCUAAAAAAGCACCCUUCUUGUUCUUUGCCUUGAAACAAUACAAGCACUCUGUGAAUCAGCUAACGGGUAUGCCUUUGGGUUCACUUCUCCUGCACUCUAGAAUUUCAAGAACAUAUAUAUAAAAAUUCAAGAAAACACACACAAACAGAGGGUGAGGGAGAGGGGGAGAGAGGGAGGGUACCAUUCUCAAUUUUCCAGUGAGUUAAAAUUCAUCAAUAUACAACUAAAUCUCUGCAAAUGAGCCGGAAACAAUAUACACAUCAACAAUUACACAAAAUCAAACAAAACCCUAACUAAAAAGCAGAAAACUCACAUGGAGAAACUCCAGCUUGUCUUAGAGGUUUUUGAGAGCAGUUCGAAUAGCAAUUAAAAGACUUGGCCUCACAAAUAGCCAAAUCAUCACCCGAAAACCCCUUAACAAAAACAAACCCAUUCCCAUUCUCCUCAUACCCCCAAACCCAUUUCUCUUCCGCCCCGGAUCUGCCCGAAGAACUGAUUUACCACCAAGAAUGAGUUUGCAAAAAUCACAGUUAGGGUUCGGAGGGGGAGAGUGAUUGAGUAAUGGAGGUGGAAGUAUAGAGAUGAGUUGGUAAGUGUAGCUGUUUGGGGGCCGAUUGUAGGGUUUGAGAUUUGUGAUUAGUCUCGUCAGUUUAUUUUGGGGAGAGAGAUAUUGAGAGAGAGAUUGAGGGAGAGAGAAUUAUGUUUUUCUGAUUUUUGGGGUUAAAGAAAUUUGGGGACUGAAGGUUUGAAAGGGGGAAUAUUGUGGUGUUUAUUUUGUUUGAUUUUGGGGUUAAAAGAAUUGGGGGGAACGAAAAUUUGACUAAGGGCGGAAAUAUACAGGAAAUAUUUGGGGGAGGGGGGAAAGACAUGGUUGCCGCGCGCUUUUUGUUUUUAAUUCAAAGAAGAUAGACAUCGGUUCUUAUAUUAACUGAUGUCAAAAAUGUAAUAGACAUCGGUUAAUUUUUAGCCGAUGUUAAUACAAGCUUUUACAUCGUGGCCAAAGUCGACCGAUGUCUAUACCCUGAUGUCUAUUCUACUUUUUCUAGUAGUG
Molecule: long non-coding RNA, 2023 nt
Filed under: Daucus carota (carrot)
Lineage: Eukaryota; Viridiplantae; Streptophyta; Magnoliopsida; Apiales; Apiaceae
Description: long non-coding RNA (DCAR_LNC001654)
Source: RNAcentral